AUCACUUCUCGGCCUUUUGGCUAAGAUCAAGUAUAUUAUUACUAUUUUUUUUUGAGACGGAGUUUCACUCCUGUUGCCCAGGCUGCAGUGCAAUGGCUGGAUCUUGGCUCACUGCAACCUCCUCCUCCUGGGUUCAACCUCCU
This 143-nucleotide small nuclear RNA is filed under the name Homo sapiens (human). RNAcentral's name for it is "U2 spliceosomal RNA". It matches the Rfam family "U2 spliceosomal RNA". From Rfam's summary of the family: U2 is a small nuclear RNA (snRNA) component of the spliceosome (involved in pre-mRNA splicing). Complementary binding between U2 snRNA (in an area lying towards the 5' end but 3' to hairpin I) and the branchpoint sequence (BPS) of the intron results the bulging out of an unpaired adenosine, on the BPS, which initiates a nucleophilic attack at the intronic 5' splice site, thus starting the first of two transesterification reactions that mediate splicing. The record is from Rfam by way of RNAcentral. Lineage: Eukaryota; Metazoa; Chordata; Mammalia; Primates; Hominidae.